CUUCGUGCCAGCAGCCGCGGUAAUACGAAGGGACCUAGCGUAGUUCGGAAUUACUGGGCUUAAAGAGUUCGUAGGUGGUUGAAAUAGUUGGUGGUGAAAUCCCAGAGCUUAACUCUGGAACUGCCAUCAAAACUUUUCAGCUAGAGUAUGAUAGAGGAAAGCAGAAUUUCUAGUGUAGAGGUGAAAUUCGUAGAUAUUAGAAAGAAUACCAAUUGCGAAGGCAGCUUUCUGGAUCAUUACUGACACUGAGGAACGAAAGCAUGGGUAGCGAAGAGGAUUAGAUACCCUCGUAGUCCAUGCCGUAAACGAUGUGUGUUAGACGUUGGAAAUUUAUUUUCAGUGUCGCAGGGAAACCGAUAAACACACCGCCUGGGGAGUACGACCGCAAGGUUAAAACUCAAAUGAAUUGACGGGGACCCGCACAAGUAGUGGAGCAUGUGGUUUAAUUCGAAGAUACGCGCAGAACCUUACCAACACUUGACAUGUUCGUCGCGACUCUAAGAGAUUAGAGUUUUCGGUUCGGCCGGACGAAACACAGGUGCUGCAUGGCUGUCGUCAGCUCGUGUCGUGAGAUGUUGGGUUAAGUCCCGCAACGAGCGCAACCCUCACUUUUAGUUGCCAUCAUUAAGUUGGGCACUCUGAAAGAACUGCCAGUGAUAAGCUGGAGGAAGGUGGGGAUGACGUCAAGUCCUCAUGGCCCUUACGUGUUGGGCUACACACGUGCUACAAUGGCAUCUACAACAGGAAGCAAAACGGCAACGUUAAGCAAAUCCCGAAAAGAUGCCUCAGUUCGGAUUGCACUCUGCAACUCGAGUGCAUGAAGCUGGAAUUACUAGUAAUCGUGGAUCAGCGUGCCACGGUGAAUGCGUUCCCGGGUCUUGUACACACCGCCCGUCACACCAUGGGAGUUGGUUCUACCUUAAGGCAAGGUUUUAUACCCUUGACCACGGUAUAGUCAGCGACUGGGGUGAAGUCGUAACAAGGUAGCCGUAGGGGAACCUGCGGCUGGAUUACCUCCUUU
RNAcentral lists this ribosomal RNA (1021 nucleotides) under Candidatus Pelagibacter sp. RNAcentral describes it as "bacterial SSU rRNA". It matches the Rfam family "Bacterial small subunit ribosomal RNA", at positions 501 to 1533 of the family's 1533-position model. Lineage: Bacteria; Pseudomonadati; Pseudomonadota; Alphaproteobacteria; Candidatus Pelagibacterales; Candidatus Pelagibacteraceae. The record is from RNAcentral.